GCGUUACUCCUACCUUAUAACGCUGGGAAAACCGUAAAAAAGGAGGAGACCAUUUCCGCCGGUCCGGCGGUGCGGCAGUGUGGAGACCUGUCGUAACGCGCACGGAGGUUCGCUCUUCGGGCGCGAGGGGGUCCUUGCGGAUGCAUGGCCCUUACGGACCUAGUACAUGGCA
RNAcentral lists this non-coding RNA (172 nucleotides) under uncultured Intestinimonas sp. Its description in RNAcentral is "malK-I RNA". It matches the Rfam family "malK-I RNA". The record is from RNAcentral. Lineage: Bacteria; Bacillati; Bacillota; Clostridia; Eubacteriales.